Molecule: non-coding RNA, 511 nt
Organism: Odocoileus virginianus texanus
Lineage: Eukaryota; Metazoa; Chordata; Mammalia; Artiodactyla; Cervidae
Source: RefSeq, a predicted model, not a curated record
AGCUCAUCUGGUCGCCGGGGCUGUUGUGUUUCCAGUUGCCAGGUCGCAUAUCAUGACGUCCACCUUGGAGAACUACAUCAACCGAACUGUUGCUGUCAUUACUUCUGAUGGGAGAAUGAUUGUGGGAACACUGAAAGGUUUUGACCAGACCAUUAAUUUGAUACUGGAUGAAAGCCAUGAACGAGUGUUCAGCUCUUCACAGGGAGUAGAACAAGUGGUACUAGGGUUAUACAUCAUAAGAGGCGACAAUGUUGCAGUCAUUGGAGAAAUUGAUGAAGAGACAGAUUCUGCACUUGAUUUGGGGAAUAUUCAAGCAGAAUCUUUGAACUCUGUAGCACACUGAGGAAAAACUACAUAUAUCAGACAGCUGUAAAUCUUUGUACAGAAACUGAUUAUUCUGAGAUUGAUGGUCAGAAUUUUUAGGAAUGUGUAACUGUGGAUUUUGACUCCAUGUUGAUUCAUUGUAAUAUGAUAUGUAAAUUAAAAUAUUUCUACAUUUUCUUGAAAAAAA